Molecule: ribosomal RNA, 501 nt
Filed under: Diaporthaceae sp. E14015d
Lineage: Eukaryota; Fungi; Ascomycota; Sordariomycetes; Diaporthales; Diaporthaceae
Description: eukaryotic LSU rRNA
Rfam family: 5.8S ribosomal RNA (bases 167-320)
Source: RNAcentral
GCUUCGGCGCACCCAGAAACCCUUUGUGAACUUAUACCUAUUUGUUGCCUCGGCGCAGGCCGGCCUCUUCACUGAGGCCCCCUGGAAACAGGGAGCAGCCCGCCGGCGGCCAACUAAACUCUUGUUUCUUUAGUGAAUCUCUGAGUAAAAAACAUAAAUGAAUCAAAACUUUCAACAACGGAUCUCUUGGUUCUGGCAUCGAUGAAGAACGCAGCGAAAUGCGAUAAGUAAUGUGAAUUGCAGAAUUCAGUGAAUCAUCGAAUCUUUGAACGCACAUUGCGCCCUCUGGUAUUCCGGAGGGCAUGCCUGUUCGAGCGUCAUUUCAACCCUCAAGCCUGGCUUGGUGAUGGGGCACUGCCUUCUAACGAGGGCAGGCCCUGAAAUCUAGUGGCGAGCUCGCUAGGACCCCGAGCGUAGUAGUUAUAUCUCGUUCUGGAAGGCCCUGGCGGUGCCCUGCCGUUAAACCCCCAACUUCUGAAAAUUUGACCUCGGAUCAGGUAG